RNAcentral lists this long non-coding RNA (1780 nucleotides) under Anas platyrhynchos platyrhynchos (common mallard). Its description in RNAcentral is "lncRNA (ENSAPLG00000022207.1)". Lineage: Eukaryota; Metazoa; Chordata; Aves; Anseriformes; Anatidae. The record is from RNAcentral.
AGUAGCUUAUAUUCAGACUAGUCCCUGCAGCACUAUUCAGAAACACAUUUUCUAUUUACAUUUGUCUCUCCCUGCUCUCAUUUUACUUCCCAGAGCUUUUCUCCCCAUGCUGUAGUAGGCCUGAAUUUUGAUGAGGCCAAAACACAAAGCAGUCAUCAUGAACGACUUAUUUAGAUGCACAACUUUUAGCAUACUGCUGAUUCGGUUACUACAUCAGUCAAGUUUCUUGACUACUCUUCCCAAAACAUAGUAGUUCCAGAAGGAUUUGGAGGAGCACUACAAUAGCCCAGAAGUUGCAUUUGUUCUUGCUUUUGCUGUUGUCCAGCCCUGAUUAGAAGAAAUGUUCCUAUUAGCUAAUUGCUUUCACAGUAGUGACAGAUGGAUGAAGGGUGCAUGUACUGAAAAACCGAGAGGAAAAGGGGUUAAUGUUGCAGAUCACCUCAUUCCCCUCUUAUUUAGGCUUCUCUAAAGCUGUUGAUUAAAUGGAGUGAUUUCUGACUGGGUCUGGAGUGCUGACUGGAGAAUCAGGCCCAUGAGGCUUGGUGACCUCUGGGUGAAGGCACUGCAGGUGUGUGGCUAACAAGGUACUAAUUGGUACCAGCCUGAGGAUAAAAGCAUUUACAAAAGUUUGAUUGAGAGGCAGUGUUGUACCCUGAAGAUCUACAAGCACUGAGCUUUGUGGCUGGGAGGAGCCAGGAACUAGGAACUACUUUCCUUGCUUAUUCACUUCUGGAACUUUCAAUGUGACCAUUUCUGUGAGCUGUUCUGGAGAGGAUCAAGAGAUCACUGCUUUUUCUCAGGCUCAUGGGCAUCAAGCAAGCAUUUGCAGAGCUAAGUAGGAAAACUGUUGUGUUGAGAAAUCAUGUUUAACUGUCUUUUCUUUUCUGUCCUGAGGAUGUGAAUAAUAGGUACUGGAGAUUCCAUGACAUAUGUCCAUUGAGAAUCAGCAGGAUCAGCAGAUGCCACAAUAUAACUGUCAUCUUCAUUGGACCUGCUGCCUUGCUGUUUGCAGUUCACCAGAGCACCCCAUCCUGCCCACAGUGGCUCCCUGUGCUCUCAAUGGGGAAUGUGUGUUUCCUGCACCCUAGGAUUUAAUUGCACCAAGGAAAAAUGCGAUGCAGUCAGCAGCAGGGGGGCUUUUCAAACCCAGAAAGACCAUGGAUUCUUUUUCUCUUUCAUUCUUUAACUGCUUUCUCAUUUACAUUUAGAAAAAUGACAUAUAGUAAUUAGGUUCCCUACUCUGACAAAACUUUAAAUAGGCUUCUUUAAAAAUAGCUUUAUUUUUUUUUUCUUCAUUUUCAUUUUCUUUAGGAGAUGAACAAUAGAACCAGUCUGCUUUUUUAACUUUUUUUUUUUUUUUUUAACAGUAGUCAUUUGUAAAUGCAGGCUGAAUGCUGACAGGUUUUGACUAACACAAAAAGUUGUGGAGUCUAUUGUGGCACUUCUCCUUCUCUUUUCCUUUCUCCCCCUCCGCCUCUCCCUUUUGCCUCUUCCUUUCACUCACCAUUGACAACGUAUGCAUUUGUAAUUGAAGAAAUUCUAUACUUAACAACUUAACAGUUGUAUGAGUUGUUGCUCUUGUCAGUGGCAUGGCUGCUGUUUCCACAAACUAAACAUGUUUCACUCUUAAUUUUCCAUUGAAAGACAUUGGAAGGUUCCUGAAAUUAAUGGUGUAAGACAAGUUUACAAACUGGUAGGCUCUGAUGUGAAAAUUAGCAUGUCUCCUUUGUAGGGGCUAAGUAUAGCAGGUUGGAAUAACGGUGAGCAGCCUGCAUAAAGC